Haliotis rubra (blacklip abalone) is the source of this 348-nucleotide long non-coding RNA. RefSeq lists it as uncharacterized. The record is from RefSeq and is a predicted model, not a curated record. The transcript is spliced from 3 exons. NCBI's taxonomy places the organism in Eukaryota, Metazoa, Mollusca, Gastropoda, Lepetellida, Haliotidae.
UCCUACAUACAGAAGGGAGAGGUCAGAUGGGAGGACAUUUGGUGACAUCCUACAUACAGAAGGGAGCGGUCAGAUGGGUGGACAUUUGGUGACAUCCUACAUACAGAAGGGAGUGGUCAGAUGGGAGGUUAUUUGGUGACAUCCUACAUACAGAAGGGAGAGGUCAGAUGGGAGGACAUUUGAUGACAUCCUACAUACAGAAGGGAGUGGUCAGAUGGGAGGACAUUUGGUGACAUCCUACAUACAGAAGAGAGUGGUCAGAUGGGAGGACAUUUGAUGACAUCCUACAUACAGAAGGGAGCGGUCAGAUUGGUGGACAUUUGGUGACAUCCUACAUACAACAUACAG